This 690-nucleotide ribosomal RNA is filed under the name Ancylobacter sp. GWS-SE-H130. Its description in RNAcentral is "bacterial SSU rRNA". It matches the Rfam family "Bacterial small subunit ribosomal RNA", at positions 12 to 750 of the family's 1533-position model. The record is from RNAcentral. Lineage: Bacteria; Pseudomonadati; Pseudomonadota; Alphaproteobacteria; Hyphomicrobiales; Xanthobacteraceae.
UUUGAUCCUGGCUCAGAACGAACGCUGGCGGCAGGCUUAACACAUGCAAGUCGAACGCCCCGCAAGGGGAGUGGCAGACGGGUGAGUAACACGUGGGGAUCUGCCCAAUGGUACGGAAUAGCUCUGGGAAACUGGAAAUAAUACCGUAUGAGCCCGCAAGGGGAAAGAUUUAUCGCCAUUGGAUGAACCCGCGUCGGAUUAGCUAGUUGGUGUGGUAAAGGCGCACCAAGGCGACGAUCCGUAGCUGGUCUGAGAGGAUGAUCAGCCACACUGGGACUGAGACACGGCCCAGACUCCUACGGGAGGCAGCAGUGGGGAAUAUUGGACAAUGGGCGCAAGCCUGAUCCAGCCAUGCCGCGUGAGUGAUGAAGGCCUUAGGGUUGUAAAGCUCUUUCGCCGACGAAGAUAAUGACGGUAGUCGGAGAAGAAGCCCCGGCUAACUUCGUGCCAGCAGCCGCGGUAAUACGAAGGGGGCUAGCGUUGUUCGGAAUCACUGGGCGUAAAGCGCACGUAGGCGGAUAUUUAAGUCAGGGGUGAAAGCCUGGAGCUCAACUCCAGAACUGCCCUUGAUANUGGGUAUCUCGAGUCCGGAAGAGGUAAGUGGAACUGCGAGUGUAGAGGUGAAAUUCGUAGAUAUUCGCAAGAACACCAGUGGCGAAGGCGGCUUACUGGUCCGGUACUGACGCUGAG